Molecule: ribosomal RNA, 292 nt
Filed under: uncultured bacterium
Lineage: Bacteria
Description: partial 16S ribosomal RNA
Rfam family: Bacterial small subunit ribosomal RNA
Source: RNAcentral
GUGUCAGCCGCCGCGGUAAUACAGAGGCCACGAGCGUUAGGCGGAAUCACUGGGCUUAAAGCGUGUGUAGGUGGAUCGGUAAGUACCUUGUAAAAUCCCACAGCUCAACUGUGGAACUGCUUGGUAUACUGCCAGUCUUGAGGCACUCAGGGGCGAGCGGAACAAGUGGUGGAGCGGUGAAAUGCGUAGAUAUCACUUGGAACGCCAAUGGUGAAGACAGCUCGCUGGGGGUGUACUGACACUGAGACACGAAAGCCAGGGGAGCGAACGGGAUUAGAUACCCCUGUAGUCC